ACCCGCACAAGCGGUGGAGCAUGUGGUUUAAUUCGAAGAUACGCGAAGAACCUUACCCGGCCUUGACAUUGAUAGAAUCCUGUAGAGAUACGGGAGUGCUAGCUUGCUAGAACUUGAAAACAGGUGCUGCACGGCUGUCGUCAGCUCGUGUCGUGAGAUGUUGGGUUAAGUCCCGCAACGAGCGCAACCCCUAUUGUUAGUUGCCAUCAUUCAGUUGGGCACUCUAGCGAGACUGCCGGUAAUAAACCGGAGGAAGGUGGGGAUGACGUCAAAUCGUCAUGCCCCUUAUGACCUGGGCUACACACGUGCUACAAUGGUUGGUACAACGAGUUGCGAGUCGGUGACGGCGAGCUAAUCUCUUAAAGCCAAUCUCAGUUCGGAUUGUAGGCUGCAACUCGCCUACAUGAAGUCGGAAUCGCUAGUAAUCGCGGAUCAGCACGCCGCGGUGAAUACGUUCCCGGGCCUU
This 466-nucleotide ribosomal RNA is filed under the name uncultured Streptococcus sp. RNAcentral describes it as "bacterial SSU rRNA". It matches the Rfam family "Bacterial small subunit ribosomal RNA", at positions 919 to 1382 of the family's 1533-position model. The record is from RNAcentral. Lineage: Bacteria; Bacillati; Bacillota; Bacilli; Lactobacillales; Streptococcaceae.